Molecule: ribosomal RNA, 253 nt
Filed under: uncultured bacterium
Lineage: Bacteria
Description: partial 16S ribosomal RNA
Rfam family: Bacterial small subunit ribosomal RNA
Source: RNAcentral
UACGUAGGGGGCAAGCGUUGUCCGGAAUCAUUGGGCGUAAAGAGCGUGUAGGCGGUCCGUUAAGUCGGCUGUGAAAGUCCAAGGCUCAACCUUGGGAUGCCGGUCGAUACUGCCGGACUAGAGUUCGGAAGAGGAGAAUGGAAUUCCCGGUGUAGCGGUGAAAUGCGCAGAUAUCGGGAAGAACACCCGUGGCGAAGGCGGUUCUCUGGGACGGUACUGACGCUGAGACGCGAAAGCGUGGGGAGCGAACAGG